RNAcentral lists this ribosomal RNA (406 nucleotides) under uncultured bacterium. Its description in RNAcentral is "partial 16S ribosomal RNA". It matches the Rfam family "Bacterial small subunit ribosomal RNA", at positions 29 to 526 of the family's 1533-position model. The record is from RNAcentral.
AUUGAACGCUGGCGGCAGGCCUAACACAUGCAAGUCGAGCGAGCGGCGGACGGGGGAGUAUUGUGUGGGAAACUGCCCGAUGGAGGGGGAGAACACCUGGAAACGGUAGCUAAUACCGCAUACCAUCAGAUGUGCCCAGAUGGGAUUAGCUGGUAGGUGGGGUAACGGCUCACCUAGGCGACGAUCCCUAGCUGGUCUGAGAGGAUGACCAGCCACACUGGAACUGAGACACGGUCCAGACUCCUACGGGAGGCAGCAGUGGGGAAUAUUGCACAAUGGGCGCAAGCCUGAUGCAGCCAUGCCGCGUGUGUGAAGAAGGCCUUCGGGUUGUAAAGCACUUUCAGCGGGGAGGCGUUACCCGCAGAAGAAGCACCGGCUAACUCCGUGCCAGCCGCCGCGGUAAUUC